CCAGGUGUGAGAAAAAUCAAGCUGUGCUCAGAGAUGUGAUUUUCUUACAUAUGCCUGAUUGCUAUUUUUUUGCUCUUUGACAAUCUUCUCCUAAUAGAACUGGGAGAUUCCAAGGUUCCUGACUUGGCUGGAGGAAGUCUCUGCAACUUCAGAAGGAGAGGCAAGGUAUCUCCAGCAGAAUGAAUGUCAGAGGCAGAGGAUACUGAGCAUCUAUCAGCACCUUUCUGCUUCUGACCACUUCAGGUUUCGAAAGUACACAUGUGAAGAUCUGAAUUUGUAAAUGGUAUAUCUUAAUGUGCCAUGCAGAACAGAAGCUCAGAAGAUGGCAAGCGUUGCCUUAAUUCAAACUCAGUGCACAUUUUGUGAAACCUGCCCUGGAGUGAUAAUGCAGACCACGUGUGGGAGACCAGCAAGCCAGAGGCCAGCCACAGGAGAAGCACACUGGAGAUUCUCCGGAACUUGUCCUGGGAGCCCCUAUCCUUUUAUCCCUCUUUCAUGGAUUAUGUACAAUAAUCCCAACAACUUCCUGAGAUUCUGAGCUCAGGUCAGGGAUUCAUUUUCAUCUCCCAGUCAAACUGCACAUCUCAAUCAGAGGCAAACAACUUUACUUUUAAUGCUACAAAAACAAUUUCUAUAGUCUUUAUUUCUAGGGUUUGAAGAGAAGGGAAAUGGAUCUAAAUUCUCAACGGUUUUCCACUGGCAAUGGUUUGAGUCAAAUGUAUGAAAGAUGAUAUAUCAUGAGCUUUGUAAUGUUUUGAACAACCAAUAAAAAAAUAUGAAAAAAAAGAAAGUGAUUUUAAGCAUUAGAACAUGUGGGUCUUUUUUAUCAAGAAAAAAAUGUGCAUUUAUAAAACAACUUCAUAACUCUAAUAAAAAUGUUUUUAAGUUGAAAAAAAUAAAAUGAGGCAGCUGAUUUUUUCCACUAAAUUUCAUAUCUCUUUUAAGUAUGUAAUACCCACAUGGUUCAAAUAUCAGAAGUACAAAAUUUCUAUAGGAACUCUU
RNAcentral lists this long non-coding RNA (1002 nucleotides) under Ictidomys tridecemlineatus (thirteen-lined ground squirrel). RNAcentral describes it as "lncRNA (ENSSTOG00000032809.1)". The record is from RNAcentral. Lineage: Eukaryota; Metazoa; Chordata; Mammalia; Rodentia; Sciuridae.